This 467-nucleotide ribosomal RNA is filed under the name uncultured bacterium. Its description in RNAcentral is "partial 16S ribosomal RNA". It matches the Rfam family "Bacterial small subunit ribosomal RNA", at positions 330 to 794 of the family's 1533-position model. The record is from RNAcentral.
CCCAGACUCCUACGGGAGGCAGCAGUGAGGAAUAUUGGUCAAUGGCCGAGAGGCUGAACCAGCCAAGUCGCGUGAGGGAAGACGGCCCUACGGGUUGUAAACCUCUUUUGUCGGGGAGCAAAUUCCGCCACGUGUGGCGGAGUCGAGAGUACCCGGAGAAAAAGCAUCGGCUAACUCCGUGCCAGCAGCCGCGGUAAUACGGAGGAUGCGAGCGUUAUCCGGAUUUAUUGGGUUUAAAGGGUGCGUAGGCGGCUUGUUAAGUCAGGGGUAAAAGGGGGGGGCCCCCCCCCGGCCCGCCGUUGAAACUGGCAGUCUCGAGUUGGAGAGAAGUAUGCGGAAUGCGCGGUGUAGCGGUGAAAUGCAUAGAUAUCGCGCAGAACUCCGAUUGCGAAGGCAGCAUGCCGGCUCCACACUGACGCUGAGGCACGAAAGCGUGGGUAUCGAACAGGAUUAGAUACCCCCGUAGU